Molecule: ribosomal RNA, 497 nt
Filed under: uncultured bacterium
Lineage: Bacteria
Description: partial 16S ribosomal RNA
Rfam family: Bacterial small subunit ribosomal RNA
Source: RNAcentral
GAUGAACGCUGGCGGCGUGCCUAAUACAUGCAAGUCGAGCGAACAGAUGAGGAGCUUGCUCCUCUGACGUUAGCGGCGGACGGGUGAGUAACACGUGGAUAACCUACCUAUAAGACUGGGAUAACUUCGGGAAACCGGAGCUAAUACCGGAUAAUAUAUUGAACCGCAUGGUUCAAUAGUGAAAGACGGUUUUGCUGUCACUUAUAGAUGGAUCCGCGCCGCAUUAGCUAGUUGGUAAGGUAACGGCUUACCAAGGCAACGAUGCGUAGCCGACCUGAGAGGGUGAUCGGCCACACUGGAACUGAGACACGGUCCAGAGUACUACGGGAGGCAGCAGUAGGGAAUCUUCCGCAAUGGGCGAAAGCUUGACGGAGCAACGCCGCGUGAGUGAUGAAGGUCUUCGGAUCGUAAAACUCUGUUAUUAGGGAAGAACAAAUGUGUAAGUAACUAUGCACGUCUUGACGGUACCUAAUCAGAAAGCCACGGCUAACUACGUG